CUCUGUGACUCCUACGGGAGGCAGCAGUGGGGAAUAUUGCACAAUGGGGGAAACCCUGAUGCAGCCAUGCCGCGUGUGUGAAGAAGGCCUUCGGGUUGUAAAGCACUUUCAGUAGGGAGGAAGGUAGUGUAGUUAACACCUGCAUUAUUUGACGUUACCUACAGAAGAAGCACCGGCUAACUCCGUGCCAGCAGCCGCGGUAAUACGGAGGGUGCGAGCGUUAAUCGGAAUUACUGGGCGUAAAGCGCAUGCAGGCGGCCUGUUAAGUCAGAUGUGAAAGCCCGGGGCUUAACCUCGGAAUUGCAUUUUGAAACUGGCAGGCUAGAGUCUUGUAGAGGGGGUAGAAUUUCAGGUGUAGCGGUGAAAUGCGUAGAGAUCUGAAGGAAUACCAGUGACGAAGGCGGCCCCCUGGACAAAGACUGACGCUCAGAUGCGAAAGCGUGGGGAGCAAACAGGAUUAGAUACCCUGGUAG
This 473-nucleotide ribosomal RNA is filed under the name uncultured bacterium. RNAcentral describes it as "bacterial SSU rRNA". It matches the Rfam family "Bacterial small subunit ribosomal RNA", at positions 328 to 793 of the family's 1533-position model. The record is from RNAcentral.